AGUGAACGCUGGCGGUAGGCCUAACACAUGCAAGUCGAACGGCAGCACAGUAAGAGCUUGCUCUUACGGGUGGCGAGUGGGGGACGGGUGAGGAAUACAUCGGAAUCUACUUUUUCGUGGGGGAUAACGUAGGGAAACUUACGCUAAUACCGCAUACGACCUACGGGUGAAAGCAGGGGAUCUUCGGACCUUGCGCGAUUGAAUGAGCCAAUGUCGGAUUAGCUAGUUGGCGGGGUAAAGGCCCACCAAGGCGACGAUCCGUAGCUGGUCUGAGAGGAUGAUCAGCCACACUGGAACUGAGACACGGUCCAGACUCCUACGGGAGGCAGCAGUGGGGAAUAUUGGACAAUGGGCGCAAGCCUGAUCCAGCCAUACCGCGUGGGUGAAGAAGGCCUUCGGGUUGUAAAGCCCUUUUGUUGGGAAAGAAAAGCAGCAGGUUAAUACCCCGCUGUUCUGACGGUACCCAAAGAAUAAGCACCGGCUAACUUCGUG
RNAcentral lists this ribosomal RNA (492 nucleotides) under uncultured bacterium. RNAcentral describes it as "partial 16S ribosomal RNA". It matches the Rfam family "Bacterial small subunit ribosomal RNA", at positions 29 to 507 of the family's 1533-position model. The record is from RNAcentral.